UCAAAUUCUCAUGAAGCCAGACAAUGACCACAAUCUCUAUUUUGGGUGAAGUAUUGUGCCGACCCAUUCCUGGCUGAGAGUUCUCUUGCCCUCUAUAGGGUGCCUGCCCCAUACUCGAUGCCCACAAAGGGUUAGAUUUUAAGUCUGAAGGAGAACGCAGGCACACCCCAUUUUAUUGCUCUUCCCUCUGUGGGGCUUUGGAGGUGCUGUUUUUUUUUUUUUUACAAACUAAAGGAAUGUGGCCACCCUGCCUCAAGCAAGUCUAUUGGCACCAUUUUUCCAACAGCCUUUGCUCUCUUUGUGUCUGUGAACCACAUUUUGGUAUUUCUCAGUGUUUCAAACUUUGUCAUUAUCAUUAUAUUUGUUAUAGUCAUCUGCAAGCAGUGAUUACAACUCGCUGAAAGCUCCUUUCUGGUGAACAUUCUUUUGGCAAUGAAGUAUUUUUUAAUUAAGGCAGGCACAUUGCUCUUUUAGACUUGAUGCUAUUGCACACUUAAUGGACUAUGGUAUCAUAACUUUAAUUGCACUGGGAAACCAAAAAAAUGUAUUUGACUCACUUGAUUGGGAUAUUCACUACCUAAAAGUGGUCUGGAACCCAACUCACAAUAUCUCCCAGGUGUGUCUGUACCUUGUUGAAGAGGAACCCAGGUGAUCCCAGCACCUAGAGCCCCAGGAUCCUAAAGAGAAAAGGCAACUGUGCCUCCCAGCACUGUAAAUGACUCAGGUCUAACUUUUCCAGGGCUUUUCUCUGCACCUUAAUCAUAGUAGAUGAAAACAAGUGAUAGCAAGUGGCAAAAUAAAGGGAACCAAAUCCUUGCAGAGGAAUUCUUUGUGGGAGAUGAAGGUCAAGUGGAAGGUGAAAUGUGGCCAGUUUAUGACUUACUAUUCUUGAGAGGCAAAACAGAUUGCUUUCCUUCAGGGAGAUUUGCUUAACCUUCAAGUUUCAGCCAAAGAAACCUAUUUGCAAGUCCCCAAACAAUGAUUAUGGAACACACUUCUCCCAAACCAGCAAACACAAUAUCCUAUGAUAGUAAUCCAGAAGUAAAAAAUAUUUACAUCUAGUAUGGAAAGCAUACAAAAAGGUUCCUUACAAAUUUUAAAUUCUAGGAUAGGCAGCAAAAAGGAAAACGUGAUGGAU
Manis pentadactyla (Chinese pangolin) is the source of this 1138-nucleotide long non-coding RNA. RefSeq lists it as uncharacterized. Lineage: Eukaryota; Metazoa; Chordata; Mammalia; Pholidota; Manidae. The record is from RefSeq and is a predicted model, not a curated record. The transcript is spliced from 3 exons.